The sequence is a transfer RNA, 94 nucleotides long. It matches the Rfam family "tRNA". Rfam says of the family: Transfer RNA (tRNA) molecules are approximately 80 nucleotides in length. Their secondary structure includes four short double-helical elements and three loops (D, anti-codon, and T loops).
UGCCCCAUGGCUGAGUUGGUUACAGCGUCCGACUGUUACGCCUCUUACGGUCCCAUACAUCGGAAGGUCGUGAGUUCGAGCCUCACUGGGGCAG